RNAcentral lists this ribosomal RNA (497 nucleotides) under uncultured bacterium. RNAcentral's name for it is "partial 16S ribosomal RNA". It matches the Rfam family "Bacterial small subunit ribosomal RNA", at positions 28 to 507 of the family's 1533-position model. The record is from RNAcentral.
GAUGAACGCUGGCGGCGUGCCUAAUACAUGCAAGUCGAGCGAACAGACGAGGAGCUUGCUCCACUGACGUUAGCGGCGGACGGGUGAGUAACAUGUGGAUAACCUACCUAUAAGACUGGGAUAACUUCGGGAAACCGGAGCUAAUACCGGAUAAUAUAUUGAACCGCAUGGUUCAAUAGUGAAAGACGGUUUUGCUGUCACUUAUAGAUGGAUCCGCGCCGCAUUAGCUAGUUGGUAAGGUAACGGCUUACCAAGGCAACGAUGCGUAGCCGACCUGAGAGGGUGAUCGGCCACACUGGAACUGAGACACGGUCCAGACUCCUACGGGAGGCAGCAGUAGGGAAUCUUCCGCAAUGGGCGAAAGCCUGACGGAGCAACGCCGCGUGAGUGAUGAAGGUCUUCGGAUCGUAAAACUCUGUUAUUAGGGAAGAACAAAUGUGUAAGUAACUAUGCACGUCUUGACGGUACCUAAACAGAAAGCCACGGCUAACUACGUG